RNAcentral lists this unclassified non-coding RNA (191 nucleotides) under uncultured Herpotrichiellaceae. Its description in RNAcentral is "sequence contains ITS1". Lineage: Eukaryota; Fungi; Ascomycota; Eurotiomycetes; Chaetothyriales; Herpotrichiellaceae. The record is from RNAcentral.
CCGAGUUAGGGUCCUCUGGGCCCGACCUCCCAACCCUAUGUUUAUCGAACCAUUGUUGCUUCGGCGGACCCGUCUCUCCCACGAGACCGCCGGGGGCCCGUCACACGUCCCCUGGCCCGCGCCCGCCGGGGGACCCCAAACCAUGAAUCUUUACAGCGGAAUCAUCUGAGUGGCACAAGCAAAAUAAAUCA